AUAUUCUGCCCUAUGAAUAACUUAAAUGGCUGCAGUAUUUUAACUGUACGAAGGUAGCAUAAUAAUUAGUUUUUUAAUUGAGGACUGGAAUGAAAGAUUAAAUGAGAGAUUUAUUUUAUUAUUUAUAUUUUUUUAAUUUUAUUUUUGAGUAAAAAAGCUUAAUUAUUUUAUUGGGACGAAAAGACCCUAUAGAACUUUAUUUAGAAUUUAGUAACUAAUUUUAAUUAAUUAAUUAUUUAAUUAUUUUUAAUUAAGUUGGGGUGAUUAAUAAAUUAUAACUUUAUUUUUUUGAUUCAUUAAUUAGUGAUUUUUUUUUGAAUAAUUUUUUAUUAAUAUAAGAUUAAGUUACCUUAGGGAUAACAGCGUAAUUUUUAUGGUGAGUUCUUAUCUAUAUAAAGGUUUGCGACCUCGAUGUUGAAUUAAGAUAAGUUUUUGGAGAAGUAUUUUUUUUACUAAGUCUGUUCGACUUUUAAAUUCUU
Molecule: ribosomal RNA, 479 nt
Filed under: Thampoa dansaiensis
Lineage: Eukaryota; Metazoa; Arthropoda; Insecta; Hemiptera; Cicadellidae
Description: partial 16S ribosomal RNA
Source: RNAcentral